RNAcentral lists this long non-coding RNA (1380 nucleotides) under Cucumis sativus (cucumber). Its description in RNAcentral is "long non-coding RNA (CSAT_LNC001146)". Lineage: Eukaryota; Viridiplantae; Streptophyta; Magnoliopsida; Cucurbitales; Cucurbitaceae. The record is from RNAcentral.
GAAUAAGAAGGGAAAACAGCCCACGAGAAAAAGAUCAUUAAGAGAUUAUUUUUUCCCUGUUAGUUCUAUAUUUGUGUUGGUUUUUAUUCUCAGAUUUUGAAUGCGAGUCUUUUACACUCUCUUGGCAGACAAAUAGGCUUCCUCCCACUGCAUCAAUAACGAAAAAUAAAUGAAAAACACAGAAGGUUUCUCCUCCCUCUAUACAAAUUUUCUCCGUCUCAAUUUUUUCUAUAAUUAUUCACAGGAGUAGUCUUAGAAUAAAGUAAAGUUGAACUAUUAUCUAUACGUUAGAGGAAGCUAAGCAUAUUUUUCGAGUGUCAAUUUUUUUGGCUUAGCUAACCAUAUUUUUAAAAAUAUUGUCGAAGUUAUGUUUGUUUAAUUAAGAUCGGGAUGGAAUCUUCAUUCAUUAGUUAAGACAUAUUUCAUGUUAGUUGAGCUAUAUAUACAUGAAUUUUGAUCAAAUUAUUUGUAUAAAUUAGUAGAUAAACUGGAUGAAAAAAUGUUUGUAAAAAAAUUAUGGACUAAAUUGGAAAAAAAAUCAACAUUAAGACUUGAAAUAUAUUUAAUUAGUCAGCCUUUUGAAAAUAUGGUUGUAGGGUCUCUAUUUAUAGAUUUAAUGUACUAAAAUAAUAAAAUAUAUAGUUAUAGUAGACGUAUUUAGUCAGGACUCAAACUAUUAAUUUAUUACUAUAAAUAAAGAAAAGGAAAGUUGUAAGUCUUCAGUUUGAAUUUGUGUAUCCAUGUCCAUCCAAAGUAUGGCUUUCCAGACCUGGAAAAUGUGUUGUCUUUCUCUAAGCUUCCUUAUCCAACCACGAUCGCUGCUUCCAACCCAUCAACCAUUCAUUUAACAUAUAAAAAAAUCAUCUAUUUUCUCAAAAUGUUUAUUACCUCUCUUUUUUGUUCCAGUUAGAGAUGAAAAUGAUAGAACUAAGUCAUGCACAGCCGAAAAAGAAUCGAAUUUCUACCCUAAUUGCCACAAUUAACAUGUAACCAUAAACUAAUCAAAUUAGGGUUUUAAGAAAUAUUACCUUUGAAGCUUUCAAAAGGUUUGAUAUCUUCUUACCAAUUCUAACCGAGACCACCACUAGUACUCAACUGCUAUCCUCUAGACAAAGAACCGGGUUGUGGGACCCAAUUUUGGUGUAGAAAGUAAUGAAGAUAAAAUGGGAUUGGAAGGUUUUUUUUUUUCUUUUGUUGAGAUGAUAAAAAAUGAUAAAAGAGGCAAAAGUUUUUCAACAUUUGAAAACACUUCUAUUUAUAACCUAAUUACAUGCAAAAAUGCAUGCAAUUCAUUUGCCAAAUUUCAACACCUAAUGUUCUACUAACAAUUAGUGGAACUUAGUGGGCUAGGUGUCUAUAUCUUAUAUAGCCACAUUUCCC